Molecule: ribosomal RNA, 253 nt
Filed under: uncultured bacterium
Lineage: Bacteria
Description: partial 16S ribosomal RNA
Rfam family: Bacterial small subunit ribosomal RNA
Source: RNAcentral
UACGUAGGUGGCAAGCGUUGUCCGGAUUUACUGGGCGUAAAGCGCGCGCAGGCGGUCCCGUAAGUCGGACGUGAAAGCCCAGGGCUCAACCUUGGAAGUGCGUCUGAUACUGCGAGACUGGAGUACUGGAGAGGAGAGCGGAAUUCCCGGUGUAGAGGUGAAAUUCGUAGAUAUCAAGCGGAACACCGGUGGCGAAGGCGGCCUUCUGGACAGUGACUGACGCUGAGACGCGAAAGCGUGGGGAGCAAACAGG